This 429-nucleotide ribosomal RNA is filed under the name Chloroflexota bacterium. RNAcentral's name for it is "Chloroflexi bacterium partial 16S ribosomal RNA". It matches the Rfam family "Bacterial small subunit ribosomal RNA", at positions 355 to 776 of the family's 1533-position model. Lineage: Bacteria; Bacillati; Chloroflexota. The record is from RNAcentral.
UGCGGAAUAUUGCACAAUGGGCGCAAGCCUGAUGCAGCCAUGCCGCGUGUAUGAAGAAGGCCUUCGGGUUGUAAAGUACUUUCAGCGGGGAGGAAGGGAGUAAAGUUAAUACCUUUGCUCAUUGACGUUACCCGCAGAAGAAGCACCGGCUAACUCCGUGCCAGCAGCCGCGGUAAUACGGAGGGUGCAAGCGUUAAUCGGAAUUACUGGGCGUAAAGCGCACGCAGGCGGUUUGUUAAGUCAGAUGUGAAAUCCCCGGGCUCAACCUGGGAACUGCAUCUGAUACUGGCAAGCUUGAGUCUCGUAGAGGGGGGUAGAAUUCCAGGUGUAGCGGUGAAAUGCGUAGAGAUCUGGAGGAAUACCGGUGGCGAAGGCGGCCCCCUGGACGAAGACUGACGCUCAGGUGCGAAAGCGUGGGGAGCAAACAGG